GCUGGGAUUACAGGAGUGAGCCACCGCGCCCGGCCACGUAGUUUGACUUCUAAGAGCACUACAGCUCUGCUGAAGAUGUGGUUUGUCAGCUGACUGAUUAUUCUCUGCUGUUCUGGAUAGUCUUCUAUGUACAAAACUAGAGGAGCUGCUAUUCAUGUUGACCAACAGUCUUAAGCAGAAAGAAAUAGCUUCUGGAAAAAUAACUAUAAUAUUGGCACAUUUCAGCAUCUCAAAGCAGAUUUUUGCAAGACGGUAAAUGACAACACAAGAUAUUUCAAUAAAAUGCCUACAUGUUGAAAGACCCUCCAACGGAAAAUAUACCAAGAGCAGAGCUACCUGAAAUAUAAUCUUAUUUCAUUGACAUACACUCCCUGGGAGAAAGUAAAGUCCAAAUUUUAUGUUUCUUGAAAUUAGACUUAAGCAUUAUAUCACAAUAUUUUUUCACCUUUAGAAUUAGAAAUCCAAAGAAAAGUCCUCCCUCCCACCUUAUUUUCUGUCAGUCUCAGCUGGAGGUAUGCUUGGGGUUUGGACAGUUUCAAGAAUUUUUAAUAACUGCAGAACCACCUGUCUCUUGCACUAAAA
This 582-nucleotide long non-coding RNA is filed under the name Homo sapiens (human). RNAcentral describes it as "HSALNT0205216". Lineage: Eukaryota; Metazoa; Chordata; Mammalia; Primates; Hominidae. The record is from RNAcentral.